RNA transcript from Diospyros lotus (date-plum), 2082 nucleotides. RefSeq lists it as uncharacterized. The transcript has 7 exons. NCBI's taxonomy places the organism in Eukaryota, Viridiplantae, Streptophyta, Magnoliopsida, Ericales, Ebenaceae. The record is from RefSeq and is a predicted model, not a curated record.
UCGGAAGUGAGAAAGAGGUACAUAGUAGAGAAACCCUAGGCAGGGCAGGCUGUGAAUCGGAAGGGGCCGGGGGACAGCAAUGGAGGAAGAGAGAGUGAGCAUAUACAGAGUAGCAAGAAGCAUAAAGCGCAAGGAGAACAGUCUAUACAACGCGUUGCGAUCGAUCUACGAGGACUCCAUCUUCGUCGGAGAGAUCUCGCAGUUGUGGCCGGAGCUCCCGCUGCUCGCCAACCUCCGAUGCGGCCUCUGGUACUCCGCUAAGUUCCAUUCGACUUGCUAUUUCAAAUCCACCGACGGCCACGCUAACAAUUGGUCCUUCAACACCUCUCGCCUCAACCUCCAUGUCGCCCUCCUCGCCGGGCAGAAGGGAGGGUGCAUAAUUGUUGAUUCAACUCGGAAAGGAAAGAGAUUUCCAGAUAGCAUGUCGAAGACCAUCCCAAUUUGGGUGUGUGUGUUGAAUCGGGCAAUUUUACGUUAUAUAACCAAAAUGCAUGGGGCUGGUACACCAAUGGAGGGAGAAUCAAACACUUUUGGUAAGAAGAGUGAAGAUAUUGAACAAGUCUUUACCGACUGGGACUGUUCCCUGCAUCUACCCCUCUGGGUUCCUAGAACAGAGAAAGCUGCUAUUGAGGACCGCAUUGAGGAUUGGAUCAAGCAAUUGGAAACUAGUGGAGCUGAUAUCUCCUCUCUUGCGUCAGCCUUGAAAAAGCCAUUACGCCCCCUAUGGAUCUCACAAAAAACUGUCAUCUGGUUAAAUGAAGUACCUGAAUCUAAUUCUUGGGAUUUCACACCAAUUAUACUUCUUUCAGCAUCUUCCUCAAGUGGCAAUUUUCAGCACCGGACUACCUCAGAGUUUAGCUGGAAUUAUAUACCUGGAGCUGGAGAUGAUGAAGAAAGUUGGGCUAGGGGUUUAUCACCUAAUCUUUUCUGGAGACAUGCUUAUGAUCUCAUAAGUUUGGGUCCUGAUUUGUGUAACCAGAAGGUGGGUGAUAUUGUUGAAAAGGACAGAGUAUACCAUGCACAAAGGGGAGAGCAUGCUCCUCAGGUAUCUCUCAAGUUGUCAAAAUUGUCAGUGAGUAACAGUGAUUUUCCUGUUGAAGAAACAGAGCUUGACUUUGACUUUCCAGGCACUGAAAACAGUGUAUGGUCUUCCAGUGACACUUGCACAAUAUUCUGGUUGGGUUCAACUAAUCUUGCUGUGGCUGCUACUGAACAUGCUGGAGAUGCAUCUGAUGUUGAUUGCCUAUUGAACUGUGAUAGGGAGAGAGCCUCCCUCCGCCUUGACAAUCCUGAAGCAUACUUACACCUUCCAAUUGUGAAUUCAAAAUUGGAUCGGUUUUCUUUGUUAAGAAAUCUCCCUUCUGCAGUGAAUUUUGCAAACAGGAACUUAAGAAAGGGGAAGAAACUACUAAUUUGCUGCCAUAGUGGUAAGUUUUUUAUUUUCCCCCUUACGAGUACAAGAACGAUAGUGGACUUACUACUACCAUAAGACGUUUUGAAUACCAAAUACCAAGAGUUGGAUCCCUUAUUUAAUGACAAUGUUCCAUUGUGCUUUUGCGGCCGCUGAACCUUUGUGCACUUGAAAUGUUUGCCUUUUACUAUAAACAUCACCACUUAAAGAUUUCAACAGUAGUACAUUAUUUUAUGUUCAACUAGUGAUAUUGAAAUAACCGUUUUAUUUUUGUUCAUUCAGCAACCCAUUGCUGUCUGCGCCUGCCCCACAUAAGGCCUCUGGGGGACAAAGGGGUCAUUUUUUUAAAAUUGAGAUCAGUAUAUUAUAUUUGGUACAAUUAAUGAUACUUGCAUAACACACCACUUAUUGUUUCUUUACAAAGUGUCACUAGGCUGUGCCCGCAGAAGACCUUUAUGGAAUAAGGUGGCAGUGCUACUCUUUCUUACUGGUUUAUUGAAUCACAUUCUUCUGAAUUCUGAAAUUCAAUAAGGGAAGAUAUCAGCAUAUGUGUUUCUCUGGCGAUCUUGACCUCAUUAUUCAAUAACGAAGGAGUCUUUGAUGACGGGAAAUCUUUCAGUGAGAUACGCAUUACCAAGUUGGAGAUGCGUAGACGGCUGGUGUUUAUCUGC